This 2930-nucleotide ribosomal RNA is filed under the name Escherichia coli. RNAcentral describes it as "23S ribosomal RNA". It matches the Rfam family "Bacterial large subunit ribosomal RNA". The record is from RNAcentral. Lineage: Bacteria; Pseudomonadati; Pseudomonadota; Gammaproteobacteria; Enterobacterales; Enterobacteriaceae.
GGGUUGUGAGGUUAAGCGACUAAGCGUACACGGUGGAUGCCCUGGCAGUCAGAGGCGAUGAAGGACGUGCUAAUCUGCGAUAAGCGUCGGUAAGGUGAUAUGAACCGUUAUAACCGGCGAUUUCCGAAUGGGGAAACCCAGUGUGAUUCGUCACACUAUCAUUAACUGAAUCCAUAGGUUAAUGAGGCGAACCGGGGGAACUGAAACAUCUAAGUACCCCGAGGAAAAGAAAUCAACCGAGAUUCCCCCAGUAGCGGCGAGCGAACGGGGAGCAGCCCAGAGCCUGAAUCAGUGUGUGUGUUAGUGGAAGCGUCUGGAAAGGCGCGCGAUACAGGGUGACAGCCCCGUACACAAAAAUGCACAUGCUGUGAGCUCGAUGAGUAGGGCGGGACACGUGGUAUCCUGUCUGAAUAUGGGGGGACCAUCCUCCAAGGCUAAAUACUCCUGACUGACCGAUAGUGAACCAGUACCGUGAGGGAAAGGCGAAAAGAACCCCGGCGAGGGGAGUGAAAAAGAACCUGAAACCGUGUACGUACAAGCAGUGGGAGCACGCUUAGGCGUGUGACUGCGUACCUUUUGUAUAAUGGGUCAGCGACUUAUAUUCUGUAGCAAGGUUAACCGAAUAGGGGAGCCGAAGGGAAACCGAGUCUUAACUGGGCGUUAAGUUGCAGGGUAUAGACCCGAAACCCGGUGAUCUAGCCAUGGGCAGGUUGAAGGUUGGGUAACACUAACUGGAGGACCGAACCGACUAAUGUUGAAAAAUUAGCGGAUGACUUGUGGCUGGGGGUGAAAGGCCAAUCAAACCGGGAGAUAGCUGGUUCUCCCCGAAAGCUAUUUAGGUAGCGCCUCGUGAAUUCAUCUCCGGGGGUAGAGCACUGUUUCGGCAAGGGGGUCAUCCCGACUUACCAACCCGAUGCAAACUGCGAAUACCGGAGAAUGUUAUCACGGGAGACACACGGCGGGUGCUAACGUCCGUCGUGAAGAGGGAAACAACCCAGACCGCCAGCUAAGGUCCCAAAGUCAUGGUUAAGUGGGAAACGAUGUGGGAAGGCCCAGACAGCCAGGAUGUUGGCUUAGAAGCAGCCAUCAUUUAAAGAAAGCGUAAUAGCUCACUGGUCGAGUCGGCCUGCGCGGAAGAUGUAACGGGGCUAAACCAUGCACCGAAGCUGCGGCAGCGACGCUGAUGCGUUGUUGGGUAGGGGAGCGUUCUGUAAGCCUGCGAAGGUGUGCUGUGAGGCAUGCUGGAGGUAUCAGAAGUGCGAAUGCUGACAUAAGUAACGAUAAAGCGGGUGAAAAGCCCGCUCGCCGGAAGACCAAGGGUUCCUGUCCAACGUUAAUCGGGGCAGGGUGAGUCGACCCCUAAGGCGAGGCCGAAAGGCGUAGUCGAUGGGAAACAGGUUAAUAUUCCUGUACUUGGUGUUACUGCGAAGGGGGGACGGAGAAGGCUAUGUUGGCCGGGCGACGGUUGUCCCGGUUUAAGCGUGUAGGCUGGUUUUCCAGGCAAAUCCGGAAAAUCAAGGCUGAGGCGUGAUGACGAGGCACUACGGUGCUGAAGCAACAAAUGCCCUGCUUCCAGGAAAAGCCUCUAAGCAUCAGGUAACAUCAAAUCGUACCCCAAACCGACACAGGUGGUCAGGUAGAGAAUACCAAGGCGCUUGAGAGAACUCGGGUGAAGGAACUAGGCAAAAUGGUGCCGUAACUUCGGGAGAAGGCACGCUGAUAUGUAGGUGAAGUCCCUCGCGGAUGGAGCUGAAAUCAGUCGAAGAUACCAGCUGGCUGCAACUGUUUAUUAAAAACACAGCACUGUGCAAACACGAAAGUGGACGUAUACGGUGUGACGCCUGCCCGGUGCCGGAAGGUUAAUUGAUGGGGUUAGCGCAAGCGAAGCUCUUGAUCGAAGCCCCGGUAAACGGCGGCCGUAACUAUAACGGUCCUAAGGUAGCGAAAUUCCUUGUCGGGUAAGUUCCGACCUGCACGAAUGGCGUAAUGAUGGCCAGGCUGUCUCCACCCGAGACUCAGUGAAAUUGAACUCGCUGUGAAGAUGCAGUGUACCCGCGGCAAGACGGAAAGACCCCGUGAACCUUUACUAUAGCUUGACACUGAACAUUGAGCCUUGAUGUGUAGGAUAGGUGGGAGGCUUUGAAGUGUGGACGCCAGUCUGCAUGGAGCCGACCUUGAAAUACCACCCUUUAAUGUUUGAUGUUCUAACGUUGACCCGUAAUCCGGGUUGCGGACAGUGUCUGGUGGGUAGUUUGACUGGGGCGGUCUCCUCCUAAAGAGUAACGGAGGAGCACGAAGGUUGGCUAAUCCUGGUCGGACAUCAGGAGGUUAGUGCAAUGGCAUAAGCCAGCUUGACUGCGAGCGUGACGGCGCGAGCAGGUGCGAAAGCAGGUCAUAGUGAUCCGGUGGUUCUGAAUGGAAGGGCCAUCGCUCAACGGAUAAAAGGUACUCCGGGGAUAACAGGCUGAUACCGCCCAAGAGUUCAUAUCGACGGCGGUGUUUGGCACCUCGAUGUCGGCUCAUCACAUCCUGGGGCUGAAGUAGGUCCCAAGGGUAUGGCUGUUCGCCAUUUAAAGUGGUACGCGAGCUGGGUUUAGAACGUCGUGAGACAGUUCGGUCCCUAUCUGCCGUGGGCGCUGGAGAAUUGAGGGGGGCUGCUCCUAGUACGAGAGGACCGGAGUGGACGCAUCACUGGUGUUCGGGUUGUCAUGCCAAUGGCACUGCCCGGUAGCUAAAUGCGGAAGAGAUAAGUGCUGAAAGCAUCUAAGCACGAAACUUGCCCCGAGAUGAGUUCUCCCUGACUCCUUGAGAGUCCUGAAGGAACGUUGAAGACGACGACGUUGAUAGGCCGGGUGUGUAAGCGCAGCGAUGCGUUGAGCUAACCGGUACUAAUGAACCGUGAGGCUUAACCUUACAACGCCGAAGCUGUU